RNA transcript from Glycine soja, 2036 nucleotides. It is a transcript of the gene named lysine-specific demethylase JMJ25-like, with no coding region annotated. Lineage: Eukaryota; Viridiplantae; Streptophyta; Magnoliopsida; Fabales; Fabaceae. The record is from RefSeq and is a predicted model, not a curated record. The transcript has 4 exons.
CCCUUGUUUCAUGCUUUAUGCUGUCUCUCCAUCAUUCUCAAGAAAUAUGGCUAGUGUGAUCAAUUUAUCCUGCUACCAUCAUCAUCAUAUUCAUCUUCUUAGUCCUAGGUUUUGCUCCUUAUCUUAUCAUCUUAGAAAAUUUUAUCUCAAUGUUUGGCUGUUUCUUGUCCCUGCCCCAUUUUGCUGUUUUUGCUUUGCCUGCCCAGACCUUUCUUGUUGCCCUUGCAUCCUUUGGUAUGUUUGUCUAGUUCUUAGACUUGCAGCAUCUAGCUGAUGUUGGGUAAAAUGUACUUUUUAUUUUUUUUAGUUUGUUGAAAAUGUUAUUUUCGAUUUGUACUCAUUCUGUUUUUCUGUUUAGUAAUCAGACUAGAGUAAAUCAUAUCUGCUUUAUUUUACUGAUUUAGUAAUUCUUUACUGGACUUGUUUAUUCAGUUGCUGCUGAUUUCUGCAUUUCUCUUUUGAGGUAUUGGUUAAAUGCAGGGGGAAAUUAAUAUCCACCAACUUUUUACUGGCUAUACAAAUGGUCGUAGGGAUUGGCUUGCUUGGCCACAGAUAUUGAAAUUAAAAGAUUGGCCUCCUUCUAAUUUAUUUGAGGAACAAUUGCCUCGUCAUUGUGCUGAGUUCAUAUCUUCCUUACCCUUCAAGGAAUAUACUGAUCCUCACAAAGGUUCUCUUAACCUUGCUGUGAAGUUGCCUAAUGGUUCUCUAAAGCCAGACCUGGGGCCAAAAACAUAUAUUGCUUAUGGAUUUCCUCAGGAGCUUGGACGUGGUGAUUCAGUGACUAAGCUCCAUUGUGAUAUGUCUGAUGCAGUAAAUGUGUUGACUCAUAUUGCAGAAGUGAAACUGGAUUCUGAUCAACUUACUGUCAUUGAGAAGUUGAAGCAAAAGCAUCUCGAGAAAGAGAAAAGGGAGCUACUUGGUGAUGAUCAGGAUGGAGAAACUAAUGUUGACAUGCUUAAUAUAAUUCAUCUUCUACAAUAAAUGCUUUGGACAGGCAAAGUAGUGUUGAAGUCAUGGAACAAGAAGGUGGAUUAUGUGAUGGGAAAGAAGUUGAUCAGUUUCAUCAACCGUCUGGUAGUAAUGAGGUUGCCAUUGCUAAUGAGGAUGGUAUUUCAUAUGGAUCAGAGCUCAUAGAGGUUGACAAAGUAAAAAUAAAUCAAGGUGAUUUGUUGUUUGGGGGGGAUGCUUCAGAUGGUGCUCUCUGGGAUACUUUUUGGAGACAGGAUGUCCCUAAGUUGCAGGAAUAUCUGAAGAAGAAUUUCAGAGAGUUUAGGCAUGUCCAUUGCUGUCGUUUAAAGCAGGGAUGAUUGACUUUUGGAUGUAUAGUUGGAUCAUGCCAAUGAAUUAUCAAACUCCCUGAAAGAAAGUGCCAAUAUUAACACUGUUUGGGCAUCGCUUAUUGUUGAAGAAUGCACAAGACUUGGUUUGAUGGUGAGAUGAUCUGAUAAAUAUUACAUAUGCACCAAUAUUAAUGCAUGAUUCUGAUUUAUUCUUUUGUUUAGUAUUUGUGUAUUGCUCCUGGAUCUAGACCUUCCCCUGUUGCUGUUGCUGCUGCAAGUCACAAAUUAAUCACAUGUAUUUCAUGCUUCGAUGAGCAUUCACUUGCAUAUGAUGCUGUUGCAUAUGGAAGAGGAUCUCACAUUCCAGCAGUAUCCAUUACAUCAUCAGGCACUGCAAUUUCCAACCUUCUUCCUGCUUUAUGUUUCAUUAUUUUCAUGAAUUUAUUUUAGGGUAAAAUACAUUUUUGGUCCCCCUAUAAUGCUCAAUCUGCAAUUUUGGUCUCCUACAUACUUUUAUUUUUCACUCAAUGUUUGACCAUGGAUAAUCAAUUAACGGUCAACUAACAGAAGAACCAAAAUCGCUGAUUUUGAAAAAUAGGGGGACCAAAAUUGCGGAUUGAGCAUUAUAGGGGACCAAUAGUGUAUUUUAGCCUUUAUUUUAUUUUGAAUGUGUGAUGAUUUAUUAAUUUCAUUCCUGUGACUUGGUUUGUUGUCAUUCUGUAUGCUGUUGCUAAUACAUGCAUUAUUGGAGUUCAA